Molecule: unclassified non-coding RNA, 405 nt
Filed under: soil metagenome
Description: partial contains 5.8S ribosomal RNA, internal transcribed spacer 2, and large subunit ribosomal RNA
Rfam family: 5.8S ribosomal RNA (bases 1-121)
Source: RNAcentral
GAUGAAGAACGCAGCGAAAUGCGAUAAGUAAUGUGAAUUGCAGAAUUCAGUGAAUCAUCGAAUCUUUGAACGCACCUUGCGCCCUUUGGACAUUCCGAAGGGCAUGCCUGUUUGAGUAUCAUGAACACCUCAACUCUCACGGCUUGUCCGUGAUGAGCUUGGACUUUGGGGGUCUUGCCGGCCUGUGGUCGGCUCCUCUCAAAUGGAUCAGCUUGCCAGUGUUUGGUGGCAUCACAGGUGUGAUAACUAUCUGCGCUUGUGGUUUUCCAUCAGAUAACCUUCAGUGAUAUGGAGGUUCGCUGGAGCUCACAAAUGUCUCUCCUUAGUGAGGACAGCUCUUUGAACGUUUGAUCUCAAAUCAGUUAGGACUACCCGCUGAACUUAAGCAUAUCAAUAAGCGGAGGA